GAUCAUGGCUCAGGAUGAACGCUAGCUACAGGCUUAACACAUGCAAGUCGAGGGGCAGCAUGGACCCAGCUUUGCUGGGUUUGAUGGCGACCGGCGCACGGGUGAGUAACGCGUAUCCAACCUGCCCUUUACUCCGGGAUAGUCUCCUGAAAGGGAGUUUAAUACCGGAUGUGUUUGUCUUUCCGCAUGGGAGCGACAAAUAAAGAUUAAUUGGUAAAGGAUGGGGAUGCGUCCCAUUAGUGUUGGU
This 247-nucleotide ribosomal RNA is filed under the name uncultured bacterium. RNAcentral's name for it is "partial 16S ribosomal RNA". It matches the Rfam family "Bacterial small subunit ribosomal RNA", at positions 15 to 253 of the family's 1533-position model. The record is from RNAcentral.